AAUUGGGUGACGGAAAUUUGGACGCCGCCGGUAUUCUCGAUGGAUUUAGUGCCGGCGCAAGUUGAAUAUCCCAAUCUGGCGCUUGCGCCGCGAAAUCGGUACCAGCGAAGGGGCAGGGAUGCGAAAGAAUAGACACUAAGACUGUCUAUCUAUAGCCGGCGACGAUGAGUGUCGCCUCCAGCCAUUAUUUGAGAGAGAGAGAUAACACACCUGAAUCUUGAACUCUGUGAGCCGGACAACUGAG
This 244-nucleotide unclassified non-coding RNA is filed under the name Hevea brasiliensis (rubber tree). Lineage: Eukaryota; Viridiplantae; Streptophyta; Magnoliopsida; Malpighiales; Euphorbiaceae. The record is from RNAcentral.